RNAcentral lists this non-coding RNA (21 nucleotides) under Arabidopsis thaliana (thale cress). The record is from RNAcentral. Lineage: Eukaryota; Viridiplantae; Streptophyta; Magnoliopsida; Brassicales; Brassicaceae.
UUGAAGGUCGCGAUUCUUCCC